Long non-coding RNA from Girardinichthys multiradiatus, 644 nucleotides. RefSeq lists it as uncharacterized. The record is from RefSeq and is a predicted model, not a curated record. Lineage: Eukaryota; Metazoa; Chordata; Actinopteri; Cyprinodontiformes; Goodeidae. The transcript is spliced from 3 exons.
GUUAAAGCUGCCUUUUACUGCUUCCACUCUCCUAACUGUGACGUCAUCAAAUCCUCAUCAGUCUCCAUUGGGAUGGGGAUCGAGCCCCAGGAACAGCAAACAGGACUUUUGCCCUCUCCCAGUUUCUUAGAAUCCAUUUCCUGUGUCCCUCCGGGUUCACAUGAUUCUCUUCCUUCCUCUUCUCCUGUCCCUCAGCCUGAAGAACCCAUGCAGCUGGGUAGCAGUAAGUUAUCUUCAGAGGAACGUGAGUGACGGAGAAGAUAUUCUCAACCUAUGCUUUUAUUGUGGAGGUUUUCGCCUUGGUCCGUCCCCAACUCAUGACAGAAGACUCCAGCCAGUAUUUGAACAAAGAAGACAUAAAGGCUACAGAACCUAUGUGGUGCAUUCAACAGCAGCUGGAGGAGGCAAAACAUUUAUACGAAGAGGUCGAGAUCUUGCCUUCUCCACUGCUGCUGGAGGACAUGCAUCAGGUCUUUUGGGGUUCCAGGCUGGUGCUCGCGCCGCCAGGGUACAGCCCAGGGUAUGCCUCCUCUCCGCCUCCUCUGCAUGGUUGUCUGCCUGGCAAAGAGGAUCCUGGGCCAGCAGGGCUGAUGAACUGUUUGCACCUGCUGCAAAUCAAGCUCAUCACUGAAGCUUAAAAGGUG